This 1307-nucleotide long non-coding RNA is filed under the name Coffea arabica (coffee). RNAcentral describes it as "long non-coding RNA (CARA_LNC005131)". Lineage: Eukaryota; Viridiplantae; Streptophyta; Magnoliopsida; Gentianales; Rubiaceae. The record is from RNAcentral.
GGGGAGAAAAUGCAUGUUUUUGACUUCCUAUUUCGAUGGACAAUCAUAUUCAUGUAUUAAGCGAGUGUGGUUAAUUUGAAUAUUUUUCGUCUAAAUCUCAAUUUAAUCCAAAGCAUAGGAAGGUUCGAUGGGUGUUUUCGAAUAUUAAGGAGAUUUCUUGACCUUUAUAUAAACACGAGGGGAUUUACUAUUCAUCACGAAAACAAGAUCUUAAAUAGGAUCCCAAUUUGAAAACUGAGGACUUGUACCACUGCUACCUGCAUUCAUCACCAUUAAUCCCAAUUCAUCCGCCUUGAGCUAGAUUUCCUUUUUCUUUCAUCAAUCCAUAAUCAUCUGUUCCAUCUUUCACAAAAGAAUCCCCUUUUUCUCGGCCACUAUCCUAUUACUCUCGGCCAAAAAAUUAAAAAUAAAACCGACGGGAAACAGAGGAGGAGACGCUGCCACCGCUGGGUCGUCGGAGUUUGCCCAUACCACCACGGUUAUCAGGCCUUCAUUUAAAACGCCCUGUGAGCUAUUCUUUCCUUUCCAACUUUAAUUUUAAUUUGAUAUUUCUGAAACCAUCUUUUGCUAGUUUCUUCUUGAAUUUUUUUUUUAAUCUAGAGUUAUUUGCAAUUUGCAUGGCUGAUUAUACACUUUGGCUUGUGUUGGACUGAAAUCGUAUUUUGAUUACAAUUUUUGGGUCUUUCUCUCGGGGAAAGUGUAAGAGAUCUUUAGAAUUUUCGUAUGCCCAUCUACUGUUUGAAGAAAUGCCUCAACGAGUACUUGAAGUAAAGGGACAAAUCUCUUGUAUCCGUGCGCGUGGGGAGCAGCUCCGAUCAGUCCAACGGGACUGAUCGGAGCCCGUGAGUUCGCCAGAAAGCCAUCAAAGACCCAGAGAUUUUUUGUUUGGAUUUUCUUUUACAUUUUCCUUUUGUUCUAUUUUUGGUUGUUCAAUGGAAUUUGGUGUGCGUAUUGUGUGUUCGUGCGUGGGAGAGAGAGGGCGAAGCUCCGGCGAGUCCAAUGCUCGCCGGAGAUGAUGAUUUCUAGGUUACGCAGCAGCAGGGACAAAAUGUCUCAAUGGAGAAGAUGACACGCUUGUGAUUUCACCCCAAAUUUUACAAUCUUUCGGAUUUACUACCGAACUUGUUUUAGGUAGUUUUAAUUAGGUCCUAAGACUAGGGGUUAGUCAACUUUUGUUUCAUUAGUCUCUCUAUUUGUCAAUUCACAUUUGUAAUUAGUUUAUUUUCUCUUUUUAGAAGUGAUGUAACCUAUAUGGGACAUAGGAGCAAUUGAAUCUUGUAAUUUUCUUUUUCUUUUUUCUUUUCUAU